RNAcentral lists this microRNA precursor (79 nucleotides) under Apaloderma vittatum (bar-tailed trogon). RNAcentral describes it as "mir-145 microRNA precursor family". It matches the Rfam family "mir-145 microRNA precursor family". The record is from Rfam by way of RNAcentral. Lineage: Eukaryota; Metazoa; Chordata; Aves; Trogoniformes; Trogonidae.
GCCGUGCCCUCAGGGUCCAGUUUUCCCAGGAAUCCCUUACGUGGGGGAUUCCUGGAAAUACUGUUCUUGGGGCCACGGC